RNAcentral lists this ribosomal RNA (408 nucleotides) under uncultured bacterium. RNAcentral describes it as "partial 16S ribosomal RNA". It matches the Rfam family "Bacterial small subunit ribosomal RNA", at positions 28 to 526 of the family's 1533-position model. The record is from RNAcentral.
GACGAACGCUGGCGGCGUGCUUAACACAUGCAAGUCGAACGAAGUGGCGAACGGGUGAGUAACGCGUAAUCAACCUGCCCUUCAGCGGGGGACAACAGUUGGAAACGACUGCGAAUACCGCAUACUGAAGGAGGGGAUUGCGUUUGAUUAGCUAUUUGGAGGGGUAACGGCCCACCAAGGCGAGGAUCAGUAGCCGGUCGGAGAGGGUGAACGUGCACAGUGGGACGUAGGCCCGGCCCAGAAUCCUACGGGAGGGAGCAGUGGGGAAUCUUCCGCAAUGGACGAAAGUCUGACGGAGCAACGCCGCGUGAGUGAUGACGGCCUUCGGGUUGUAAAGCUCUGUUAAUCGGGACGCGGUACCGGAAUAGAAAGCCACGGCUAACUACGUGCCAGCCGCCGCGGUAAUUC